GUGGAAUAUGACUCUUCUUCUUGUUUGGAACUGGAGGAGGAGGUGGGCUUGGCAAGGGUUUGCUGCCUAGUUUUCUCAUCUUCAUUUCUGCGUUGACCUCAGUCAUCUGCACGGACAAGAUGGAAGCUAUGAAUGCAAGAACUACGAGGAAUCGGAAGGAGAAAGAUAGACCCAUUUUGAUUAUUGGCUAUGAAAUUUGGCUGUUAG
RNAcentral lists this unclassified non-coding RNA (207 nucleotides) under Hevea brasiliensis (rubber tree). The record is from RNAcentral. Lineage: Eukaryota; Viridiplantae; Streptophyta; Magnoliopsida; Malpighiales; Euphorbiaceae.